GGGUUCGUUAAUGGUUUCAGGCCCUGCCGGAAUCGACCAGAAGCAACUUGUUGGUUGUUUCCCGUGGCGAGCUUCUCCAACAGGGAAACUUAAAAGUGACUAAAAGGAAGUUUUAGGGAAGUGAUGUGACGUCUGAGUCAUAAAGAGUUGUUUGUGUGGUGGAGAGAGAAGCGGUGGAUUAUUAUUCUGGAUCAUUGACUGAGUGAACAAAGCUCACUUUGUCUCGUUUCAUUCAAGUCUUCAGUUGAGUCAAACGAAGCAGACGAGGACGUUUAUUAUUUAUCGCGUUUUUUUGGUUCAGGGGGUAAAAACCAAACCAGCAAACAACCAGCAAAUAGAAACAAUGUUUGUGUUGCUUGCAAAGCUGCAGCCACAGACUUUCAUGAAUGUCGGUUUUAUGUCUGUAUUUUGAAGAAAGGGUUUAAUUAUCUGAAAUGCAAAACAAAAAAGCACAAAAACUGAAUUAUGUUAACAUGAACAAUGCAAUACACCUGUUUAAUAUGUCCUGUUUAAUUGUUGACAAAAAGGAUAUUUCCAAGCUGCUAUCAGUGAAGUUCACAACUGACUUUUAGCAUUUUGGGACCAUUUGUUUAAAGUCAAACAUAGUUGUCCCCUUUUAUAUAUUUGUCUUCGAUUCAUUCAUCAUAUCGGCAUAAUGUGCUAAUGUUUCACUCCUAAUGGUACAAAUGUUGUGAUGUUCCAGACCUGCAUUGUUCCUGCGAAUGUAUUAUUAUUAUAAUAACUCUUGCUCACUCGCUGUAUGUGGGUUAGUAAUGCUUCAUGUAUGACGUGGGGUUGGAACUGUGUGUGCGUGUGUGACAGAGAGAGAGAGAGAUGCAUGCUGGGUCGCCAGUGGAGCUUUGGGCCAGUUUGUUGUUGUGUUUUGAUUGAUCUUCAAAUCUCUGCAAGCUGUUGGGACCUCUGCAUCCUCUCCCUCUGCUUGCUGACUUUCAUUGUGAAUGAGCCCACUGCUCACAGCAUGUGGCCUUCACACGUGUGUGUGUCCUGCGUGUGAAGGAUGUGCACCACGUGUGUGUGUGUUUUGGCAUGUUUGAGUGAGGAGUGACAUUAAACCUCGUCUGAACAGGACUGUGUGUGUGUGUGUGUGUGUGUGUGUAGAUAGAUGGUGUUUGGUCUCAAUGUGUCGGUGGUUACGACCGGAAGCUGCAGCUGAACACGAAUCCUCACUUCUCAUCGAUGUCAGUGAUCAUCAGCCGGUUUCCACACUACGUUUGAACGUGUGUGUAAAGCAGGUGAUCACACACUCCUCCGGUGAUACUUAACAAAUAGUUUAUCUUCAUAUUGUCUGGUCAAUUAUCACUCACCAAUACGUAGAGUCCUUUCAAAAUAAAACGCUGUCUUCAAAGGAGAAUGUGACCAAACCACUUAAAUAAAUGUAACUAGUGUUUGAUUUAAAAGUUAACUUUGGAACUGGGCGCGACUGAAGUACGCCACUGCUAGAGGUGGUGUAGAAGCUAGUGGUAGGUAGGAGGUGGUAUAGAAGGUAGUGGUAGGUAGGAGGUGGUGUAGAAGCUAGUGGUAGGUAGGAGGUGGUAUAGAAGCUAGUGGUAGGAGGUGGUGUAGAAGCUCGUGGUAGGUAGGAGGUGGUGUAGCAGCUAGUGGUAGGUAGGAGGUGGCGUAGAAGCUCGUGGUAGGUAGGAGGUGGUGUAGAAGCUCGUGGUAGGUAGGAGGUGGUGUAGCAGCUAGUGGUAGGUAGGAGGUGGUGUAGAAGCUAGUGGUAGGUAGCAGGUGGUGUAGAAGCUAGUGGUAGGUAGGAGGUGGUGUAGAAGCUAGUGGUAGGUAGCAGGUGGUGUAGAAGCUAUUGGUUAAAUUAGGCCGAGCUUUAGGAAGUGUGUAUGAAUCCUCACGUGGUGGAAGUCCAGCGAUCAAUAGAGAGGCGUAAGAUAAGAGCUUCAGGCGCUUCAGAGAACCAAACCACCUCAAAGUCUACGAGGCCUCGUGUCUAAUCGAGGGUCCCGCUCAGCUUCCCGACCGACUUACAUUAUAGUGCUGGAAUGUUUUCACUUGGAAGUGACCACGAAACGCAGCAGUGAGGAUUGGUCCGUUUUGGAGGACGAAUAGUAUCUUAAGUGGGUGCAGAUUGUAUCAGCGGGCAACGGCCUCAGGAUCUGAGUGCCUCAGACCUCCAGGGGGAAUGGAACAGAUGAUCUAAGUCCUGCCUGUUUUUAUCGGGUCGGUCACACCUCUUCAGCUCCUCUGUUGGGAACCAGUUACUGUUCAACUGUGAUCUUCUCCCCUGCAAGUAGCGGCUCCCUCUGCGAGCGUGACCGGAUCAAAGGGGCCGUGAUCCAAUAGACUGAAGAACCUGAGUCUCUGCCUUGCUUUAGUUUGUGCAGCUGUCCGUGGUGCUCGUCUUCGUACGGCAUCUCCGUUUGUGUUGAGGCCUUCGUUUGAACUCGUUCUAGAGGAUCAGCCUUUUACUGUCAGCAUUAAACCUUUAACGCGCCAUCAUGCGCUUCACAUCCGGCCUGGUCAUAAUUUGGUAGUAUUGCAAGAAAUGUAUUUUCAGUUUGCUUUGCUCUGGUCCACUGCUUUCCUCUCCUGCAGUUUGAAUGUUAAAAAUCAUCAUUCCUCUCCACAGUAGGUGUACUGUACUGUACUUCAGGAGCGUGAAGGAAGUCUGCUGAAGGAAAUGAGAGUGGGAGCAGAUGAAUGACGGUCGAAUGUCUUGUUUCCAUGCGAUAAACUCCAUCUCGCUAUCUGGAGGACCAGAGAUCACUGACCACAUCUUUUAGUCCGCUAUUCUCCUGAGAGGCC
Gasterosteus aculeatus aculeatus (three-spined stickleback) is the source of this 2778-nucleotide long non-coding RNA. NCBI's taxonomy places the organism in Eukaryota, Metazoa, Chordata, Actinopteri, Perciformes, Gasterosteidae. The record is from Ensembl.